Molecule: ribosomal RNA, 399 nt
Filed under: uncultured bacterium
Lineage: Bacteria
Description: bacterial SSU rRNA
Rfam family: Bacterial small subunit ribosomal RNA
Source: RNAcentral
AUUGAACGCUGGCGGCAUGCCUUACACAUGCAAGUCGAACGGCAGCACGGGAGCAAUCCUGGUGGCGAGUGGCGAACGGGUGAGUAAUAUAUCGGAACGUGCCCAGUCGUGGGGGAUAACGUAGCGAAAGCUACGCUAAUACCGCAUACGAUCUAUGGAUGAAAGCGGGGGAUCGCAAGACCUCGCGCGAUUGGAGCGGCCGAUAUCAGAUUAGGUAGUUGGUGAGGUAAAGGCUCGCCAAGCCGACGAUCUGUAGCUGGUCUGAGAGGACGACCAGCCACACUGGGACUGAGACACGGCCCAGACUCCUACGGGAGGCAGCAGUGGGGAAUUUUUGGGACAAUGGGCGCAAGCCUGAUCCAGCAAUGCCGCGUGCAGGAUGAAGGCCUCGGUUGUAAC